UACACACCGCCCGUCACAUCACGAAAGCCGGCUGUACCGGAAGUCGCCGUGCUAACCGUAAGGAGGCAGGUGCCCAUGGUAUGGUCGGUGAUUGGGGUG
Molecule: ribosomal RNA, 99 nt
Filed under: uncultured bacterium
Lineage: Bacteria
Description: partial 16S ribosomal RNA
Rfam family: Bacterial small subunit ribosomal RNA
Source: RNAcentral